Molecule: unclassified non-coding RNA, 358 nt
Filed under: soil metagenome
Description: partial contains 5.8S ribosomal RNA, internal transcribed spacer 2, and large subunit ribosomal RNA
Rfam family: 5.8S ribosomal RNA (bases 1-120)
Source: RNAcentral
GAUGAAGAACGUAGCGAAAUGCGAUAAGUAAUGUGAAUUGCAGAAUUCAGUGAAUCAUCGAAUCUUUGAACGCACAUUGCGCCCGUCAGUAUUCUGGCGGGCAUGCCUAUUCGAGCGUCAUUACGCCCCUCAAGUCCCCUGUGGACUUGGUGUUGGGGAUCGGCGAGGCUGGUUUUCCAGCACAGCCGUCCCUUAAAUUAAUUGGCGGUCUCGCCGUGGCCCUCCUCUGCGCAGUAGUAAAACACUCGCAACAGGAGCCCGGCGCGGUCCACUGCCGUAAAACCCCCCAACUUUUUAUAGUUGACCUCGAAUCAGGUAGGACUACCCGCUGAACUUAAGCAUAUCAAUAAGCGGAGGA